UACGUAGGCAGCAAGCGUUGUUCGGAGUUACUGGGCGUAAAGGGUGCGUAGGCGGCUUUUUAAGUUUGGUGUGAAAUCUCCCGGCUCAACUGGGAGGGUGCGCCGAAUACUGAGAGCUCGAGUCCGGGAGAGGUGAGUGGAAUUCCUAGUGUAGAGGUGAAAUUCGUAGAUAUUAGGAAGAACACCAGUGGCGAAGGCGGCUCACUGGCCCGGUACUGACGCUGAGGCGCGAAAGCGUGGGGAGCAAACAGG
This 252-nucleotide ribosomal RNA is filed under the name uncultured bacterium. Its description in RNAcentral is "partial 16S ribosomal RNA". It matches the Rfam family "Bacterial small subunit ribosomal RNA", at positions 524 to 776 of the family's 1533-position model. The record is from RNAcentral.